CAGUCGCCGCGGGAAUACGUAGGGUGCAAGCGUUAAUCGGGAUUACUGGGCGUAAAGCGUGCGCAGGCGGUUCGCUAAGACAGAUGUGAAAUCCCCGGGCUUAACCUGGGAACUGCGCUUGUGACUGCACAGCUAGAGUAUGGCAGAGGGGGGUGGAAUUCCACGUGUAGCAGUGAAAUGCGUAGAGAUGUGGAGGAACACCGAUGGCGAAGGCAGCCCCCUGGGCCAAUACUGACGCUCAUGCACGAAAGCGUGGGGAGCAAACAGGAUUAGAUACCCCAGUAGUCCCUGUCUCUUAUAC
This 301-nucleotide ribosomal RNA is filed under the name uncultured bacterium. RNAcentral describes it as "partial 16S ribosomal RNA". It matches the Rfam family "Bacterial small subunit ribosomal RNA", at positions 509 to 807 of the family's 1533-position model. The record is from RNAcentral.